GAAAUGCUAUAAGUAGUGUGAAUUGCAGAAUUCAGUGAAUCAUCGAAUCUUUGAACGCACAUUGCGCCCCUUGGUAUUCCAUGGGGCAUGCCUGUUCGAGCGUCAUCUACACCCUCAAGCUCUGCUUGGUGUUGGGCGUCUUUGUCCCGCCUCCGCGCGCGGACUCGCCCCAAAUUCAUUGGCAGCGGUCCUUGCCUCCUCUCGCGCAGCACAUUGCGCUUCUCGAGGUGUUGCGGCCCGCGUCCAGAAAGCAAUCGUUACCGUCUUUGACCUCGGAUCAGGUAGGGAUACCCGCUGAACUUAAGU
RNAcentral lists this unclassified non-coding RNA (306 nucleotides) under plant metagenome. Its description in RNAcentral is "partial contains 5.8S ribosomal RNA, internal transcribed spacer 2, and large subunit ribosomal RNA". The stretch from base 1 to 105 matches the Rfam family "5.8S ribosomal RNA", at positions 50 to 154 of the family's 154-position model. The record is from RNAcentral.